Molecule: ribosomal RNA, 253 nt
Filed under: uncultured bacterium
Lineage: Bacteria
Description: partial 16S ribosomal RNA
Rfam family: Bacterial small subunit ribosomal RNA
Source: RNAcentral
UACGUAGGGUGCGAGCGUUGUCCGGAAUUACUGGGCGUAAAGAGCUCGUAGGUGGUUUGUCGCGUUGUUCGUGAAAACUCACAACUCAAUUGUGGGCGUGCGGGCGAUACGGGCAGACUGGAGUACUGCAGGGGAGACUGGAAUUCCUGGUGUAGCGGUGGAAUGCGCAGAUAUCAGGAGGAACACCGGUGGCGAAGGCGGGUCUCUGGGCAGUAACUGACGCUGAGGAGCGAAAGCGUGGGUAGCGAACAGG